This 2452-nucleotide long non-coding RNA is filed under the name Sus scrofa (pig). RNAcentral describes it as "lncRNA (ENSSSCG00035028749.1)". The record is from RNAcentral. Lineage: Eukaryota; Metazoa; Chordata; Mammalia; Artiodactyla; Suidae.
UUUCUCUUCCACUGCAGCAGAUAGCCAGCCUCCCCUUCUGGCUAAGCUCUCCUCUCCUUGGAGGCUUUUGUUCAAUGGCACCGUUUCCGGGGUUAAUAGCUCCGAGGAUGGGGCCUCCUGAUGGAGCGAAAGAUAUUCAUGCAUCGUGUUAUUUAAGUCUCAAAAAACAAAUGCUUGAGUGGAGUUCCUCUCGUGGCUUAGCAGUUAACGAUCCCAACUAGGAUCCAUGACGAUACAGAAAGAAGCUCCUCUGUGUCAAGAUGGCGGCGGGCAAUUCUGCAUUUUGCAUUUUGGAUGUGCAUCCCAAGUGACACUCUGCGAAUGCUGUUUUGGGAGAAACGUGGUUCUGGACUCGAUAAGCUGGAGAAACACUGAAUUUGACAAGGUCAGCAAGGCUCCUCUCUUGCAGGACUUCUUAGAGCCUUUCAUUGUUAAUAGGCACUUUGAUCUAUUAAGAAGGGGCUCUGGUGUUUUUUUCAUGCUUUUUUAAUACUGGUGCUACUUUUCUUCACGAACUCUUUUCCGGGGACAAGUGGGACAUCGUCUGGGCCCUGCAGGUUUUGAGGACACCUCAGAGAUUCUUGGACUUGAAACGUCAAGUCACCCAGCAGAGGUGGUGACCGUGGGUAAAGAUGCUUCCUUUUUCAUAUCGAGUGGCAGAUCACCUUCUUAACUCUUGAUGAACUUGGCCACGGGAAUCAAGCCAGUGUGGAAAUCUGGCCUCACGAUCUGCCCCCUCUUCCUGGCACGGAGUGGAGAGGAGCUGCUGAAUGGGCAGAACCAGGAGGCUGCCUUGGACUAAGAAGCUUCUGCCUGUGCCACACCAGCCGAGAUUGCCUGAGGAAUUGAGUCAGCGUCUUCCUGGAUGGUGCUGAAAGGCUGGAUUCCUAGAAGACAGGAAUUUAUGGUGUGAGAGCUCCAGCCCCCGCAAACCCACAGCCAAGGUCAACAGCACGAGGCGGGCAGCGCUGCCAAGCAAGGAGGGGAGCCCAGAAAACCAAAGUACAUGCAUUUAAAAAAUUCUCUUCUCUCCCUCACGUUCCCAAAAGGGGGGCUCAAGAAAGGUCUCCCAGCCUGGCCCAGAUGAUCCCCUCACAGAGACAGAGCCUGUGAAGCUGCCGGGGAGGGGGUCUCUUGGGCCCUUGGAGGGUUUGAACGUAGCCCCAUUGCUGGGUCCCAAGCAUGGCAGUGACCGUCUGGUCUUAGGGGGUGGUAGCAAGCUACCCUUGGUGCCCUCUCCUUCUGGUCAACCAAGGGCAGCUAAGGUGCCCUAAGCCCUGUCACAGAGGCCCCUGAGGUGGAAGCCUGAUUCACAGUCUCCCCUCUGCCAUCUUGGGUCUUGGGUCUUGACUGCCUGCCCAACAGUAAACACCCAGUGCCUGGGGCCAGGGCUCCCUGUCACAGGCUGUGGCCCUGGACUCUGACAACACAGGACAGGCUUGUUCCAGCCCCCUGUGGUAGCCAAGCGGAGGUGAGGAGAGGCCUAGAGACCACCUUGAUUCGAACCCCAAUGACUUAUGCUGGCAAGGCAGCCCCCCCCCCCGCAGCCGGGAGCCCCCAAGAGUUUAAAUAUCCAUGUGUCACCCUCACACCUGCCACUCAUGGAGCCCCCUGGCAGGGCCAGGACCUGAGAAAGAAUAGGGUAGCAUCUUGCCCCAGAGUCACACCUCCAAGUGGGGGUGAAGGGAAGGCUGGCAUGGAAAUGGGGGGUGACCAGCACGUGAGGGGCUGUGGGUCCCCCCCCAGGAGCGAAUGACCCAGGGCUGGGAGGAACAACAUCGGUCAGAGAAAUCACGAAGGAGGCGGCCAGAGUUCACCAGGCGGACACAGAAUAGGAAAGGGGCUUAGAGGGAACAUUCCAGCCAAGUCUGCAGCAUGUGCAAAGGCCCAGAAUGUUUAUACCUUGGUAAGACUUUUCAUAUAAAUAAAUUCUCAGAUCCCAAACACAACCCAGACCUCUGGCAAACCAUAUGUCUGGGUUUCUUGCUUGAAGAAUGAGGCCUUGCUCUGCCCUGGAGCCCAGGGACCAGCCAGGCCAGUUCAGCGCUCAGUUCUUGCUCCCCCAGCAGCCACCAUCCCAACAGCACCACACAGCGCCCCCAAGGGGUCCACUUCUGCUUGGGUCUGUGCCCUCAGCCCCGGCCUCACCUGGCCCGCUUCUCCUCCCUGCCGUCUCCUUCCCAGGCCCCAGGACCGCCUUCAGCCUAUUCUCCACACGUGCCAGGAGUCAAGAAGGGAUGAGGGUUGCUCCCAGGGGGCCCCAGAGUCUCUCCGGUGUCUCUGCUCCCUGAGUGCCUAGAGUAGAGGGCGUCUGAACCUCCAGCUGGUAUUUGACGUUUUAAAUUUCUUUUUGGCCCUCAAGCAUGUCUCUUUCAGUGCCCUGCCCCCGCAGUCCUCAUCUAAUGCCUGCCCAUUUGUUUCUUAAAUAAUGAUUUUUAUUUUUUCUAUUACA